CAUGUCCAGUUCCUUCUGUAGGCGGGCAAGGGUUGCAUCGUCAUGGCCUCCUGCACACUUUGUGACUGUGCACCACUUCUGGCUGCUAGGGUCAUAGCAGCCCAUGAGGAAGAUCGACAUCAUACCACCUGCAGGCCAGUGCCGCUUUCCGGGCUCAUAUGUACCCUGAAGGGACAUGAAAGAGAACACAAAGUACAAUGGAAACUCUCUGAGGCAGGGAUUUAGCUCUUCACUGCAGCCCACCAGCCCACACCGGAAGGGCCAUGGACUCCAGGCUCCUCAGGAGAUGUAUAAAACCCAUCCUCCUAAUCCAGAACAGACCUGUCAAGCCCCAGAAAGGAUCCACCCCCACCUCUUCAGAUGGCACUGCCAUCUGUCCAGGACAGGAAAGGCUCAGAGGAAAGCAACAGGUGUGAUGACCUUACCUUUACAUCCUUCAGCACCAGCCCUUCCAAGCCCUCCCGGAUCACCCGGUUUAUCAUAUCAGCCAAGUCUGAAGCUUUCUGAGGGACAGCAGGAGAGAUGUUGAAGAUGGUGUGAGAAGAGGAUGGCACAGGAGUGCAUCGACGGCAUGCUAGUCGAGUACCCACUGGAAACGCCCUAACUUGAAUACUAGGGACAAGGGAUUUGUAAACCAGGGAACCUCUCAACCAGAGCGCAGCAGUGGCUUGGAGGCACAGGGUGCUUACCUAGGAAGGACUUCCAUGCCCUGUCCUCCUGGGUAACGAACAGACAACAGACACAAAGGCAAACACAUCAGCCACCCCCAGAAGGACAAGUAAGACUCACUCUGUCACACUUGUUGUGCAAGGGGUUCUGUGUCCUGCUUUUAAGCCACAUGACCCUGUCUAGAGUAGGUUCUUCACUUACUGUUACUUGCUUCAUUUCUGAGAACAUGAUCCGGUUGGGAAUUUCAACCAUGUUGUCAUGAAGAAACUUCCGCCGCUCACACAGAGGCCUAAAGGGGACAGGAAAGCUGAGGGAGGGAUCUUCCCACCCCUAGCAGCCGUUCUGAGGGAAGGAGCACAAUGAUAAAAUUGCUGCUGCAUGAGAGGGUCUGACGUGAACUAAAGCCCUCAUGUGUGACAGUUCUGCUGCCAUAGGCUGCAGGGCUCCAUCCUGACCGAAGAUGGACAACUGUGAGCAGGGGUAUGGAGCCAGUUAGCCAGUUCGUAGCUGUAGUUCCUGUUUCUACUUUAUGGAGCCAAGGGAGAUCUGGCCUCUAGCCCAGAUUAUAUAAAAUAUGGUCUCAUUUGAAAAAUGACUCCCACUUGGGUAUUUUUUUUGCCUUGCUUCACCCUAACCCCAAGGCUGGCAGGUCCUUGGGUCAGCAGGCUGUCGGGCCUCAGGAUGCUGGUUUCUUGGGCCCAAGCCUUUAAAGGCAGCUAAGUCAGGACUGCUAGCUCUUCCCAAGACAGUCCCACCCACAGCCACCCCUACCAUCAAUAGGGAGUUUUCUACUGCCAGUCUCUCCUGAAAUCAAAACCUCUGAGCAGAAAAGCACUUGCAUUAUGCCCUGAGGGGUGUCACUGGAGAAUAAACUGAAACCCUGCUAUGUUCACCA
Ictidomys tridecemlineatus (thirteen-lined ground squirrel) is the source of this 1564-nucleotide non-coding RNA. NCBI's taxonomy places the organism in Eukaryota, Metazoa, Chordata, Mammalia, Rodentia, Sciuridae. The record is from RefSeq and is a predicted model, not a curated record.